Molecule: ribosomal RNA, 484 nt
Filed under: uncultured bacterium
Lineage: Bacteria
Description: partial 16S ribosomal RNA
Rfam family: Bacterial small subunit ribosomal RNA
Source: RNAcentral
AUUGAACGCUGGCGGCAGGCCUAACACAUGCAAGUCGAGCGGAUGAAGGGAGCUUGCUCCUGGAUUCAGCGGCGGACGGGUGAGUAAUGCCUAGGAAUCUGCCUGGUAGUGGGGGAUAACGUCCGGAAACGGGCGCUAAUACCGCAUACGUCCUGAGGGAGAAAGUGGGGGAUCUUCGGACCUCACGCUAUCAUAUGAGCCUAGGUCGGAUUAGCUAGUUGGUGGGGUAAAGGCCUACCAAGGCGACGAUCCGUAACUGGUCUGAGAGGAUGAUCAGUCACACUGGAACUGAGACACGGUCCAGACUCCUACGGGAGGCAGCAGUGGGGAAUAUUGGACAACGGGCGAAAGCCUGAUCCAGCCAUGCCGCGUGUGUGAAGAAGGUCUUCGGAUUGUAAAGCACUUUAAGUUGGGAGGAAGGGCAGUAAGUUAAUACCUUGCUGUUUUGACGUUACCAACAGAAUAAGCACCGGCUAACUUCGUG